GCCGGGAUGGCGGAAUUGGUAGACGCAACGGACUUAAAAUCCGUUGGAGGACAUCCCUCCGUGCGGGUUCGAGUCCCGCUCCCGGUACCA
RNAcentral lists this transfer RNA (90 nucleotides) under Bacteroidota bacterium. Its description in RNAcentral is "Bacteroidetes bacterium (microbial mat metagenome) tRNA-Leu". It matches the Rfam family "tRNA". Rfam says of the family: Transfer RNA (tRNA) molecules are approximately 80 nucleotides in length. Their secondary structure includes four short double-helical elements and three loops (D, anti-codon, and T loops). Lineage: Bacteria; Pseudomonadati; Bacteroidota. The record is from RNAcentral.